This 1699-nucleotide long non-coding RNA is filed under the name Gossypium barbadense (sea-island cotton). RNAcentral describes it as "long non-coding RNA (GBAR_LNC013443)". The record is from RNAcentral. Lineage: Eukaryota; Viridiplantae; Streptophyta; Magnoliopsida; Malvales; Malvaceae.
AGAAACGAUUAGUUUAAUAUACCAAAAUAAACAUUUAGCAUAAACAAAGAAAAGACAUAGGAAACAAAUUAAAAUGAGCUAAUGAUGCACAUGAAAAUUUAUGAAUCUGAAACACCUAUCCUAAUCCUUUUGAGGAUGAGGAGGCAGUGGAGGAAAAUUAGCCACAAGUUGAGCUAAUUGAUCCUCUAAAGAUGAAAACCUUGAGCCCAUGUUAUCUUCCAACCUAGACACCUUAGAGUCUAAUCCUCUAAAUUCCUCUUGUACUAAUCUAAUAGCAUCAAAUAUGGAAAGAGUAUCAGCAUAGAACGAUGGUGCUUGCGGUGGAGCGAAUGAAGAAGCAAGUGGCGAAACUUUCUCGGGUGAAGGUACAUCAUUGGGAUUUCCUCCAAAGUCUUCAUCAUAUUGGGCGUUAGUUGUCCACUUUUGAUCCAUUCAACGGAGAUAGAGUCCAACCGAUAACCGGCAUGACGAAGUGCCCCAAAACCUAUAGGUUGGUGUUUCUUUACAGGAGGGUCACCACGAGCUUUGAUAUGAAGACAAGUGAAAAUAUAAAAAAGGUAGGUCCCAAAAGGAAGAUUUAAUGAGCUACCGAGCUCCUUCUCAAUGACUUUAGUUAUAUCAUUGAACAUGAGAAGCGUGAGGUCGGGAGGCCUAUUGGACUUAAAACAAUCGAUCCACCAAUAGUUGAUGGACCAAAUGAAUACAUGUUUAGAAAUAGGCCUAAGAACCCAAGUAAUAAUGAAGUGCAAAAGACGGUCAUGAAUGUCUAGAUUAGAAAAAAGAUGGGAUUCAACAUAUAAUGCGGGACUAAAGAAACCUUUUUCAUUAGAGACACCACCAGAGGGUAAGGAUAAUAAAUUUUUGAAAUCUUCAAGAGUGAGGCAAAUAAGAGUGUUCAUCAAAUAUGAGUUAAUGGAAAUAAUGGACUCAUCCGACUCAUCAUGUUCAAGCUUGGAAUUAGAAUAAAAGGCCUGAACAAGAUUUUCAAAAGUCGUAGAACAGUUUUUUAAGAAGUCAAUCCAUUGCCAAUCUCGUAAAAUUUGAAGGUGAUAGAAAUUCAUAGUCUUUAAAUCACCUAAAUCAAGUGGUAUAGAGGUGUUAACAAGCCUAGAAGCAAAAUAGGUAUUAAAUUGCAUUCGUUCCCUUGGAGAACGAAAACAUUCACUAAGGGAUGAACUAGACCCACUAAAAGGGAUGGAGGAAUGAGCAUCGAUCUUAGAUUGUUUCUUUAAAGGCAUUGUAACGAACUAAGGUUCUAGACACGCUAAAAUAACUCAGAAAAUUCGUUUGGGAAUUUCUACGAACACUCGGUGGGUAAAAGGCAACAAUUUUUUUUUAAAAAAUGUGGGUAAGUUUAAGGCAACCUCUUGUACGAAUCAUAACAUAUGUAUGUUCUAAAUCAACCCAAUAACUCAAUAUUCAACUAAUAAUUUAACAAAAAUUAAAGUUGAAAAAUAUGAGUUUUUACCUCAAAAUUUACUUUGAAAGAUGAAAUUCCUUAACAAUCUUUCUGAAUCCUUGUUAAAAAUGACAAUGUGUGUUCCUUUGUUUGAAGAUUUGAAGGAAAAAAAUGAAAGAUUUGAGAGUUAGGGUUGAAAGGGUUUCAAAAUCAGGUGAAGAGAAAAUUUUGGGGAAAAACUAUUUUGAAUUUAAAAACACGCUGCAGAAUAUUUAAAGCCCAAUAGGUAUCGAUAUUUUU